CCUUGAGCAUGGACAGCCUGGAUCUGCUGGGUGAAGGGAGAAGUUAUGUCCAGGGUGGGACAGAGAGGAUGGCGAGAGAUUUCCUCACUACUCAGAACAGCGGGAAAUUCAAAACUUAGGGAUUAUUUCUGAAAUUUUCCAUUUAAAAUUGACCAAGUGUAACUGAAACCAGAGAAAGCAAGACUGACGAUAAGGGAGGGGCCUCCUGUACUCCAAGAGCACUGAAUCUGGAAAAACUCAACACAUCGAUGGAGUCAUAUAUUUAAUUUUUUCUUAAAAGCCACCUGUGGGGUAUUGUAGAAACGCUGCGCUGCCUAUCACAGCUUGUGAUGUGACACGUUCAUUCUGCAAGUUUAAACUUCGCCUAGACAGCAUCUCUUUGAGCAACAAUUUCUUGAAAUAAAAAAAUAUAUUCUUGGCCAGGCGUGGUGGCUCACGCCUGUAAUCCCAGCACUUUGGGAGACCAAGGUGGAUGGAUCACUUGAGAUCAGGAGUUCAAGACCAGCCUGAUCAACAUGGCGAAACCCCAUCUCUACUAAAAAUACAAAAAUUAGCCGACCGUGCUGGUGUGCACCUGUAAUCCCAGCUACUUGGGAGGUUGAGACAGGAGAAUCACUUGGACCUGGGAGGCAGAGGUUGCAGUGAGCCAAGAUGGUACCACUGCACUCCAUCCUGGGCAACAGAGCAAGACUCUGUCUCAAAUAUAUAUAUAUUUUCGCUAGUUGGCUUUAGACUCUUGACCCCAGCUUAUAGUUGUUUUUGUUAAAGACCUGUAUUAUUAUGGUCUCUCCAU
Molecule: small RNA, 793 nt
Filed under: Pan troglodytes (chimpanzee)
Lineage: Eukaryota; Metazoa; Chordata; Mammalia; Primates; Hominidae
Description: processed transcript
Source: RNAcentral